AAAACGGCUCUUUUAAGAGGCACCAAAUAUACUAUAAGAAUUAAACG
This 47-nucleotide non-coding RNA is filed under the name Paramuricea clavata. It matches the Rfam family "Histone 3' UTR stem-loop". Rfam says of the family: The mRNAs of metazoan histone genes lack a poly-A tail. 3' end processing occurs at a site between a highly conserved stem-loop (modelled by this family) and a purine rich region around 20 nts downstream (the histone downstream element, or HDE). Lineage: Eukaryota; Metazoa; Cnidaria; Anthozoa; Malacalcyonacea; Plexauridae. The record is from RNAcentral.